RNAcentral lists this ribosomal RNA (465 nucleotides) under uncultured bacterium. RNAcentral describes it as "partial 16S ribosomal RNA". It matches the Rfam family "Bacterial small subunit ribosomal RNA", at positions 28 to 507 of the family's 1533-position model. The record is from RNAcentral.
GACGAACGCUGGCGGCGUGCUUAACACAUGCAAGUCGAACGGAAAGGCCCUGCUUGCAGGGUACUCGAGUGGCGAACGGGUGAGUAACACGUGGGUGAUCUGCCCUGCACUUCGGGAUAAGCCUGGGAAACUGGGUCUAAUACCGGAUAGGAGCCAUUUUUAGUGUGAUGGUUGGAAAGUUUUUUCGGUGUAGGAUGAGCUCGCGGCCUAUCAGCCUGUUGGUGGGGUAAUGGCCUACCAAGGCGGCGACGGGUAGCCGGCCUGAGGGGGUGGACGGCCACAUUGGGACUGAGAUACGGCCCAGACUCCUACGGGAGGCAGCAGUGGGGAAUAUUGCACAAUGGGCGCAAGCCUGAUGCAGCGACGCCGCGUGGGGGAUGACGGCCUUCGGGUUGUAAACUCCUUUCGCUAGGGACGAAGCUUUUUGUGACGGUACCUAGAUAAGAAGCACCGGCUAACUACGUG